AGGACGAACGCUGGCGGCGUGCUUAACACAUGCAAGUCGAGGGGUCUCAGGGGCAACUCUGGGGCACCGGCGAACGGGUGCGUAACACGUGAGCGACCUGCCUUCUUGCGGGGGAUAGCCCGGCCCAACGGCCGGGUAAUACCGCAUAUUGCAUUGCCCGGGCAUCCGGGGAAUGGAAAACCCUUCGGGGGCGAGAAGAGGGGCUCGCGGCCUAUCAGCUAGUUGGCGGGGUAACGGCCACCAAGGCGACGACGGGUAGC
Molecule: ribosomal RNA, 260 nt
Filed under: uncultured soil bacterium
Lineage: Bacteria
Description: partial 16S ribosomal RNA
Rfam family: Bacterial small subunit ribosomal RNA
Source: RNAcentral